AUAACGCGCGCUCUGAUUGGUUCACCACCUAUGAAGAAAAAAUGUAUGGAGAACUCGUAUGGAGCACCUGGUGAGGUCAAUUUGGUGAAAAUUCUGAGAAAAUUGCAAGCAUUCAGAUAAAACUAAAAAGACUACUAACUGGUCUACCUUUCUGUACAUUUAAAGCAUGUGUCAAUCACAGGCUCUAUGAAUAGCGAAUUURAUUGCACAACAGUCCAUAAUUCUUUUGGAAGCACAAUUAAAAGCACAACUCAUCUAUCAAGGACUGCUUUGCAUUAAAGAAGCUUAAAGAAUGGCCAAGAAAAUUCUGUUGAUAUUGGUAUUGUGCAUGGUCUCGGUUUUCCUGUCGAAUGGCGUGAUAGGUAAGGUUGGAUUUGUAGCAUCAGUACUACAGUAAACAUAUGGCCAG
Long non-coding RNA from Actinia tenebrosa (Australian red waratah sea anemone), 409 nucleotides. RefSeq lists it as uncharacterized. The record is from RefSeq and is a predicted model, not a curated record. NCBI's taxonomy places the organism in Eukaryota, Metazoa, Cnidaria, Anthozoa, Actiniaria, Actiniidae.